RNAcentral lists this ribosomal RNA (253 nucleotides) under uncultured bacterium. Its description in RNAcentral is "partial 16S ribosomal RNA". It matches the Rfam family "Bacterial small subunit ribosomal RNA", at positions 524 to 776 of the family's 1533-position model. The record is from RNAcentral.
UACGAGUGGUGCAAGCAUUAUUCGGAAUCAUUGGGCGUAAAGGGUGCGUAGGCGGCAUGCUAAGUCUGCUGUUAAAUAUCUCGGCCUAACCGGGAACAUGCGGCGGAAACUGGCGUGCUAGAGGAUGGAAGAGAGAAGUGGAAUUCUCGGAGUAGCGGUAAAAUGCGUAGAUCUCGAGAGGAACACCGAUGGCGAAAGCAGCUUCUUGGUCCAAUCCUGACGCUGAUGCACGAAAGCGUGGGGAGCAAACAGG